AACGCUGGCGGAAUGCUUUACACAUGCAAGUCGAACGGUAGAGGGGGCAACCCCUUGAGAGUGGCGAACGGGUGAGUAAUAUAUCGGAACGUGCCCAGUCGUGGGGGAUAACGUAGCGAAAGUUACGCUAAUACCGCAUACGAUCUAAGGAUGAAAGCGGGGGAUCGCAAGACCUCGCGCGACUGGAGCGGCCGAUAUCAGAUUAGGUAGUUGGUAGGGUAAAGGCCUACCAAGCCAACGAUCUGUAGCUGGUCUGAGAGGACGACCAGCCACACUGGAACUGAGACACGGUCCAGACUCCUACGGGAGGCAGCAGUGGGGAAUUUUGGACAAUGGGCGAAAGCCUGAUCCAGCCAUUCCGCGUGCAGGAUGAAGGCCCUCGGGUUGUAAACUGCUUUUGUACAGAACGAAAAGGUUUCUAUUAAUACUAGGAGCUCAUGACGGUACUGUAAGAAUAAGCACCGGCUAACUACGUGCCAGCAGCCGCGGUAAUACGUAGGGUGCAAGCGUUAAUCGGAAUUACUGGGCGUAAAGCGUGCGCAGGCGGUUAUAUAAGUCAGAUGUGAAAUCCCCGGGCUCAACCUGGGAACUGCAUUUGAGACUGUAUAGCUAGAGUACGGUAGAGGGGGAUGGAAUUCCGCGUGUAGCAGUGAAAUGCGUAGAUAUGCGGAGGAACACCGAUGGCGGAAGG
RNAcentral lists this ribosomal RNA (691 nucleotides) under Pseudomonadota bacterium. RNAcentral's name for it is "bacterial SSU rRNA". It matches the Rfam family "Bacterial small subunit ribosomal RNA", at positions 32 to 721 of the family's 1533-position model. The record is from RNAcentral. Lineage: Bacteria; Pseudomonadati; Pseudomonadota.